UACGUAGGUGGCAAGCGUUAUCCGGAAUUAUUGGGCGUAAAGCGCUCGCAGGCGGUCCUUUAAGUCUGAUGUGAAAGCCCACGGCUCAACCGUGGAGGGUCAUUGGAAACUGGGGGACUUGAGUGCAGAAGAGGAGAGUGGAAUUCCACGUGUAGCGGUGAAAUGCGUAGAGAUGUGGAGGAACACCAGUGGCGAAGGCGACUUUCUGGCCUACAACUGACGCUGAGGCGCGAAAGCGUGGGGAGCAAACAGG
This 253-nucleotide unclassified non-coding RNA is filed under the name uncultured Bacillaceae bacterium. RNAcentral describes it as "contains 16S-23S intergenic spacer region". It matches the Rfam family "Bacterial small subunit ribosomal RNA", at positions 524 to 776 of the family's 1533-position model. Lineage: Bacteria; Bacillati; Bacillota; Bacilli; Caryophanales; Bacillaceae. The record is from RNAcentral.